RNAcentral lists this ribosomal RNA (260 nucleotides) under uncultured marine eukaryote. RNAcentral describes it as "partial 18S ribosomal RNA". It matches the Rfam family "Eukaryotic small subunit ribosomal RNA", at positions 1 to 253 of the family's 1831-position model. The record is from RNAcentral.
AACCUGGUUGAUCCUGCCAGUAGUCUAUGCUUGUCUCAAAAGAUUAAGCCUGCAUGUCUCAGUAUAAGCUUCUAUACGGCGAAAACUGCGAAUGGCUCAUUAAAAACAGUUAAUAAGUUUAUUUGAUGAUCAACAAUUACAUGGAUAACCGUGGUAAUUCUAAGAGCUAAUACAUGCGCCCAAAAACCCAACUCCGUGGAAAGGGUUGUGUUUAUUAGAUACAGAACCACCCAGGCUCCGCCUGGCAUUGAGGUGAUUCC